This 513-nucleotide ribosomal RNA is filed under the name uncultured bacterium. RNAcentral's name for it is "partial 16S ribosomal RNA". It matches the Rfam family "Bacterial small subunit ribosomal RNA", at positions 29 to 523 of the family's 1533-position model. The record is from RNAcentral.
AACGAACGCUGGCGGCGUGCCUAACACAUGCAAGUCGAGCGCGAAAAGGGCAACCUGAGUAGAGCGGCGCACGGGUGCGUAACACGUGGGUAAUCUGCCUUAGAGUCGAGGAUAACCUUCCGAAAGGUUGGCUAAUACUCGGUAAGCUUACGGUGUCUUCGGACGCUGUGGGAAAAGUAGGCCUCUGUUUACAAGCUUACGCUCGGAGAUGAGCACGCGGCCCAUCAGCUAGUUGGCGGUGUAACGGACCACCAAGGCAACGACGGGUAGCUGGUCUGAGAGGACGAUCAGCCACACUGGAACUGAGACACGGUCCAGACUCCUACGGGAGGCAGCAGUGGGGAAUUUUCCACAAUGGGCGGAAGCCUGAUGGAGCAACGCCGCGUGUGUGAUGAAGGUUUUCGGAUCGUAAAGCACUUUCGACCGGGACGAAAAACCUCUGGCUAACAUCCAGGGGCCUGACGGUACCGGGAGAAGAAGCACCGGCUAACUCUGUGCCAGCAGCCGCCGUAA